Molecule: ribosomal RNA, 1486 nt
Filed under: uncultured bacterium
Lineage: Bacteria
Description: 16S ribosomal RNA
Rfam family: Bacterial small subunit ribosomal RNA
Source: RNAcentral
UUUGAUUAUGGAUCAGGAUGAACGCUAGCUACAGGCUUAACACAUGCAAGUCGAGGGGCAGCAUUUUAGUUUGCUUGCAAACUAAAGAUGGCGACCGGCGCACGGGUGAGUAACACGUAUCCAACCUGCCGAUAACUCGGGGAUAGCCUUUCGAAAGAAAGAUUAAUAUCCGAUAGUAUAUUAAAACCGCAUGGUUUUACUAUUAAAGAAUUUCGGUUAUCGAUGGGGAUGCGUUCCAUUAGUUUGUUGGCGGGGUAACGGCCCACCAAGACUACGAUGGAUAGGGGUUCUGAGAGGAAGGUCCCCCACAUUGGAACUGAGACACGGUCCAAACUCCUACGGGAGGCAGCAGUGAGGAAUAUUGGUCAAUGGACGAGAGUCUGAACCAGCCAAGUAGCGUGAAGGAUGACUGCCCUAUGGGUUGUAAACUUCUUUUAUAUGGGAAUAAAGUAUUCCACGUGUGGGAUUUUGUAUGUACCAUAUGAAUAAGGAUCGGCUAACUCCGUGCCAGCAGCCGCGGUAAUACGGAGGAUCCGAGCGUUAUCCGGAUUUAUUGGGUUUAAAGGGAGCGUAGGUGGAUUGUUAAGUCAGUUGUGAAAGUUUGCGGCUCAACCGUAAAAUUGCAGUUGAAACUGGCAGUCUUGAGUACAGUAGAGGUGGGCGGAAUUCGUGGUGUAGCGGUGAAAUGCUUAGAUAUCACGAAGAACUCCGAUUGCGAAGGCAGCUCACUAGACUGCAACUGACACUGAUGCUCGAAAGUGUGGGUAUCAAACAGGAUUAGAUACCCUGGUAGUCCACACAGUAAACGAUGAAUACUCGCUGUUUGCGAUAUACAGUAAGCGGCCAAGCGAAAGCAUUAAGUAUUCCACCUGGGGAGUACGCCGGCAACGGUGAAACUCAAAGGAAUUGACGGGGGCCCGCACAAGCGGAGGAACAUGUGGUUUAAUUCGAUGAUACGCGAGGAACCUUACCCGGGCUUAAAUUGCAUUUGAAUAAUCUGGAAACAGGUUAGCCGCAAGGCAAAUGUGAAGGUGCUGCAUGGUUGUCGUCAGCUCGUGCCGUGAGGUGUCGGCUUAAGUGCCAUAACGAGCGCAACCCUUAUCUUUAGUUACUAACAGGUCAUGCUGAGGACUCUAGAGAGACUGCCGUCGUAAGAUGUGAGGAAGGUGGGGAUGACGUCAAAUCAGCACGGCCCUUACGUCCGGGGCUACACACGUGUUACAAUGGGGGGUACAGAAGGCAGCUACCUGGCGACAGGAUGCUAAUCCCAAAAACCUCUCUCAGUUCGGAUCGAAGUCUGCAACCCGACUUCGUGAAGCUGGAUUCGCUAGUAAUCGCGCAUCAGCCAUGGCGCGGUGAAUACGUUCCCGGGCCUUGUACACACCGCCCGUCAAGCCAUGAAAGCCGGGGGUACCUGAAGUACGUAACCGCAAGGAGCGUCCUAGGGUAAAACUGGUAAUUGGGGCUAAGUCGUAACAAGGUAACC